Molecule: long non-coding RNA, 2161 nt
Organism: Anolis carolinensis (green anole)
Lineage: Eukaryota; Metazoa; Chordata; Lepidosauria; Squamata; Anolidae
Source: Ensembl
UUCUUUUUCCAUGGUGAAUUGGAUGUUUGGGUGGAUGCUGUUAAGAUGGUCCAGGAACUUGCUGAGUUCUUCCUCUCCAUGGCUCCAAAUCGUGAAGGUGUCAUCUACGUAUCUGAACCAAACAGUUGGCUUUUUUGGUGCUGUUUCUAGGGCCUGUUUUUCAAAGUAUUCCAUAUAGAAAUUUGCUACUACUGGGCUGAGAGGGCUCCCCAUGGCCACUCCAUCCUUCUGUUCAUAGAAUCCAGUGUCCCACUGAAAGUAGCUAGUGGUGAGGCAAUGGUGAAACAGGGCUGUGAUGUCUUCUGGGAAGUUUUGUUUGAUUAGUGUGAGGGUGUCAGCUACUGGGACUUUGGUAAAAAGGGACACCACAUCAAAGCUGAUCAGGAUGUCCUUGGUGCUUAGAUUGAGGUUGCUGAUCUUUUCUAUAAAGUGUGUAGAGUCCUUGAUAUAAUGUGCAGUGAGCCCAAUGUGGGUUUGUAGCUGUGUAGCCAGAAAUUUUGCCAGGUUGUAAGUCGGCGAUCCAAUGGCACUUACAAUGGGUCUGAGUGGGAUGGAGUCCUUGUGGAUUUUGGGGAUUUACAAAAAUCAGUUGUGCAGCCCUUUAAACUGGAUUCUGCAAAAGCUGUUGGCGUAUGUCAAAGUUAAUGGAGGAGUUCUUGAUUAGAGUGUUCGUUUUUCUGGUGAUUUUGUUAGUGGGGUCUUGUUUCAGUUUCUUGUAAAUUGUGGGAUCUAGAAGUUGUCUGAUUUUUUCUUUGUAUUGUUUUGUUUCCAUGAUUACUGUGGCAUUCCCCUUGUCAGCUGGAAGAAUGAUGAUUUCAGGAUCUGAGUUGAGAUCUUUGAUGGCCUGUCUUUCUUUUCUCGUUAUGUUGCUGGGGGGGGAGUUUUGCAUUUCUCAGGAUCCUUGCUGUUUCCAUUCUUACCUCCUCUGCUUCUUCCUCAGGGAAAACUCAAGAAUCAGAACAGUAAAUAAAAAGCAAUACUCUAAAAACAGAGGAUUUCCAGACAUGAAUCAACCUAGGGCAGUUAACGACUCUAAACAAAGGAUGCCCCAGAGGCAGGAAGAAGACAGCAGAUAAGCUUUUCAAUGCUAAUUAAAGUGAUUAACUACACACAUUCACACUGACCUCUCUCACCCUAGACUUUCCACAGAUAUAUAUUUACCUCUUUGCUUAGUUUUCUCCAUACCUCACAACCUCUGAGGAUGCCUGCCAUAGAUGUGGGUGAAACGUCAGGAGAGAAUGCUUCUGGAACAUGGCCACACAGCCCGAAAGACACACAACAACCCUGUGAUCCUGGCCAUGAAAGCCUUCGACAACACAAUAAUUUUGUGAUUUAUGUCUGCAAAGCAGAAAAGGAAAUCAAACACAUGGCUGCAGUCUACUAAUGAUAACAGUGGCAACGAUUGUAUAAAAUAUGAUUUUCAUUUGGUUUCAGCAAAUAUUCAGGAUAAGACCAGGAAGUUGUGUGUGAAACUAGAUAGGAAAGAAAAAGUCAAGUUUCCAAACUGAUCCAAAGCCGAAUGUCACAGAGCUUAGUUACUUCCAUGUGCUUCUCUUAUAAAACUAAACUUAUUUCAUGCAUUAGGUCUCAAAUGAGGCCAGUAGCAAAAUCCUAAUGGCAUAUUUAUAUAAGAACUGAUGUCACUCAGUGGUAUGUGAAAUAUUGUGAAAGGAAGUUUCAUGUUUGCAUAGGUUGAAGGGCAGCCUGGAAAUGGUCAAAUGAACAUAUAACAUGUCUCCUGAACAGAAUGGAGGAGAUAUUCUUAAAGAAUUUGAUGAGGUGUUUAAUGAGCUUGGAUACAUUAUGGAUAUAAUACAUCAUGUAAUAUAGAUCUAAAUGUGCUGCCAAAAAUAUAUGUGCCAUUUAAGCCCCAUUAGCACUAGAGAACAAAGGAGAUGCUGAAAUCAACCGGAUGAUAAAAUUACAUGUCAUUGAGAGAUUCAGCUAUCUAGUUCUUUUCUUUAUUCCUUUUUCAGGAAGGAACACCCUAACUUGAGUAACACCUUCAACUCACAGUGAGGUAAAAGAAAGUGACUAAACUUUUGAAAGUACUGAUGUUUAAAAGCCAAAUUAAGCCAACCCCCCCCCCCCCAAAGUAAGUGGGGCUAUGCUAGGUAGGUGUGAGCAGAAGGUGAGGUAAACUCUAUGGAAAUCACUUUCU